ACUUAAAUAGUUUAAUUAAAAUUUUGAUUUGUGGUGUCAGAGAUAUACUAUGGUAUUUUAGGUU
Molecule: transfer RNA, 64 nt
Filed under: Ultragryllacris sp. 1 JL-2022a
Lineage: Eukaryota; Metazoa; Arthropoda; Insecta; Orthoptera; Gryllacrididae
Description: tRNA-His
Source: RNAcentral